Folsomia candida is the source of this 882-nucleotide long non-coding RNA. RefSeq lists it as uncharacterized. Lineage: Eukaryota; Metazoa; Arthropoda; Collembola; Entomobryomorpha; Isotomidae. The transcript has 2 exons. The record is from RefSeq and is a predicted model, not a curated record.
CCAGUGACGACAUUCACCUUCUGCUAUAAAACUGAUGGAAUUACCAGCUUCCGCACAAACUCAUCGCAUCAGUCUUGUGAGCUUCACAAUUGCCGAUAAUUUUCAUACACGAACUUAUUUCCAAAGUUUUCAAUUUUCAUUUGAUAAAAUUCACGCACACUUUUAAAUCCUCAUCAUGAGUUCAUCUGCUUCAGUUGGGAAACUUGGGGGUCGAGUUUGGCGACUCCAGAAAGAAAUGACGACCGCUGUCCAGCCUUUGAUGGGUGGAAGCAGUGGGAAGCUCGAGGGCAGGGUUUGGAGACUUCAAAACAGCCAAGAAGGGUCCACAAGGUCCUUUUCUUCUGAAUCAAGCGGAAAGUCGUCCUUCGGGUCGUCAAGAUCUGAGAACCCCUUUGGCAGUUGGUCCGCGAGGUCGUGAUCAUGCUGGGAUCUUCCGUAGUCACCAUCUUAUAAUAGCCUUCAAAGCUCAACGCAUCUCAAAUCUCAUGAAAACUACACACAAACAAACGACUUUAUCUCAUCCUGUCAAAUCAACAUGGCCCACCAUGCUUGGCAAAAGAUUUUCCAUGCCGUCUUUUGGAAAGAUACCUCCCAUUGUGCCACUUUAGUUGUUAUUGAAGGACUUUUUUUUUACUCCUUAGCUGUGUACGCAUCUCUAGUCAUGAAAAUUAAUUUUCGAAUCAUGCAGUUUGCAUUAUUGUAUUUAUUUUGGUAUUUAUUAUAGACUGAUUGUUCAUGAAAGUGAAUGUUCCAAUCGUGUAAUGCAAAAAUUGUACACAAAUUUAAAGAAUUUAUUAUACUUUUCACUUUAACUUGAAAGUUUUAUGUGGCCAAUUCAAUUCAAAAUCGUUGAUCAAAUAUACGUAUUUAAUCUAGAAAUAA